UGAACGCUGGCGGCAUGCCUUACACAUGCAAGUCGAACGGCAGCACGGGUGCUUGCACCUGGUGGCGAGUGGCGAACGGGUGAGUAAUACAUCGGAACAUGUCCUGUAGUGGGGGAUAGCCCGGCGAAAGCCGGAUUAAUACCGCAUACGAUCUACGGAUGAAAGCGGGGGACCUUCGGGCCUCGCGCUAUAGGGUUGGCCGAUGGCUGAUUAGCUAGUUGGUGGGGUAAAGGCCUACCAAGGCGACGAUCAGUAGCUGGUCUGAGAGGACGACCAGCCACACUGGGACUGAGACACAGCCCAGACUCCUACGGGAGGCAGCAGUGGGGAAUUUUGGACAAUGGGCGAAAGCCUGAUCCAGCAAUGCCGCGUGUGUGAAGAAGGCCUUCGGGUUGUAAAGCACUUUUGUCCGGAAAGAAAUCCUUGGCUCUAAUACAGUCGGGGGAUGACGGUACCGGAAGAAUAAGCACCGGCUAACUACGUGCCAGCAGCCGCGGUAAUACGUAGGGUGCGAGCGUUAAUCGGAAUUACUGGGCGUAAAGCGUGCGCAGGCGGUUUGCUAAGACCGAUGUGAAAUCCCCGGGCUCAACCUGGGAACUGCAUUGGUGACUGGCAGGCUAGAGUAUGGCAGAGGGGGGUAGAAUUCCACGUGUAGCAGUGAAAUGCGUAGAGAUGUGGAGGAAUACCGAUGGCGAAGGCAGCCCCCUGGGCCAAUACUGACGCUCAUGCACGAAAGCGUGGGGAGCAAACAGGAUUAGAUACCCUGGUAGUCCACGCCCUAAACGAUGUCAACUAGUUGUUGGGGAUUCAUUUCCUUAGUAACGUAGCUAACGCGUGAAGUUGACCGCCUGGGGAGUACGGUCGCAAGAUUAAAACUCAAAGGAAUUGACGGGGACCCGCACAAGCGGUGGAUGAUGUGGAUUAAUUCGAUGCAACGCGAAAAACCUUACCUACCCUUGACAUGGUCGGAAUCCUGCUGAGAGGCGGGAGUGCUCGAAAGAGAACCGGCGCACAGGUGCUGCAUGGCUGUCGUCAGCUCGUGUCGUGAGAUGUUGGGUUAAGUCCCGCAACGAGCGCAACCCUUGUCCUUAGUUGCUACGCAAGAGCACUCUAAGGAGACUGCCGGUGACAAACCGGAGGAAGGUGGGGAUGACGUCAAGUCCUCAUGGCCCUUAUGGGUAGGGCUUCACACGUCAUACAAUGGUCGGAACAGAGGGUUGCCAACCCGCGAGGGGGAGCUAAUCCCAGAAAACCGAUCGUAGUCCGGAUUGCACUCUGCAACUCGAGUGCAUGAAGCUGGAAUCGCUAGUAAUCGCGGAUCAGCAUGCCGCGGUGAAUACGUUCCCGGGUCUUGUACACACCGCCCGUCA
Molecule: ribosomal RNA, 1370 nt
Filed under: uncultured beta proteobacterium
Lineage: Bacteria; Pseudomonadati; Pseudomonadota; Betaproteobacteria
Description: 16S ribosomal RNA
Rfam family: Bacterial small subunit ribosomal RNA
Source: RNAcentral